ACGAGUCAUCCCCAGUGCACUGGUCUUCCCGAAUAAACCUCUUGCAGUUUGCAUCAAGACUGUUAAGACUGUUUCUCGUUGCCAAAGGAUCCGAGAAGGUGAAGACUUCCUGGAUUCUCUUCACUUGAUGAACUUGUUGCAGUCUUGCAGUUUUUCUCCUUUCUCUGAACCAGCAGCUCCAAAGAGCAGCUUGCAUAAUGUGCAAGGAGAUAUUCUCCAAGGAGCAGUUUGUACACACAGCCACUAAGCAUGCAGACGAGUCCACACAUUUCCCUGAGAUAGAACCUUCUCUGAUGAUGGCUAAGCAAGAUGCCAAUUGAGUUGUUGGCCACCAUGGAAACUCAAACUACUCAGGCCACUGACAAGACUAUUGGUUGCUCUUUACAAACUGAUGAACUGUUGGGACAAAAAUGGAGAAGAGAUUGAAGACAGGAGCCUCGCAUGGCUGGCCUCUGAGAGGCUCUACCAGUAGCUGACUGAGAUGGGCACAGAAACUUUCACCAACCACUGGACUGAAGUCAAGGACCCCUAUGGCUGAAUUAGGAGGUCUGAAGAAGCUGAAGGGGAGGAUGAUCCCAUAGGAAGACCAGCAGUCUCAACCCCAGGGAGCUCUUAGAGACUGAGCCACCCACCAGUCACUGUACUUGGGCUAGCAGAAUACUGCUUGGUUUGGCCUCAGUGGGAGAAGAGGCUGCAGGGAAGGGGGUGACCUGGUGGGGGGGAGAAACACCCUCUAGGAGGCAAGGGGGAGGAGGAGUGUGUUGAGGAACUGUGGAAAGAAGAACUCAGACGGGGGAACAACGGCUGGAAUGUAAAUAAAUAAAAUACUUUUUAAAAAUUGACAUCAUGAAAUUUUCAGGCAAAUGGCUCUAGAAAAAAAUCUUCCUGGGUGAGGUAACCCACACCCAGAAAGAUCAUUCAUUUAUAGGUGGAUAUUAUCCAUUAAAUAAAUGAUAACCAAGCUACAAUCUAUAGACCCAGAGAGGUUAGGUAAAGAGAACGAGUUUAGAGGAAUUCAGGAACCUGCCUGGGAGGGGGAAAUUCAAUAGAUUUUUGUGGCAGACUGUGGGCAGGUGGUGAUGGGAGUGGGAGGAAUCAGGUGAAGGGAAGUUGGGGUAGAGGGGAAGAGUAUGAAGAGAGAUGGCAGCUAUUGGGGGUGGAAUUUGGAAGAUGAUAUGAAAACCUAGUACAGUAGAAACUUCCUGGAAUUUAUGAAGGUGAAUGUAAUGAGAACUCCUAGUAAUGAGGGAUAUGGACUCUCAACAAGCCUUCUCUUGUUGUCAAGUAAGGUUUCUAGUGUUGGAACUAGGUUGCAGUGAGUUGAGUUGUUGGUCAAGGGAGUGUCAUAAAAAUCCCCAAACAAAACUGCUAUUGCUAAGACAAAGACAGUCUUCAAACUGACAGCAGGGACCCCAAUGCUGAGCACAACACCCACACAAUUCACUGAACAUGGAAAAGUAGAGCUGGUUCCUACAUGAAGCCUUCGCCUCAAUAUUCUAUGUCUGUGGUAUUGGACAGUACUCUGGCAGACUACCAAUAGAGAAACAUGGACACCAACCCAGACACAAAACCUUUGACCUAAAAGUCUGUAGGAUACAGGAAUACCCUUAGUGCACACCUUUAAUCCCAAACAAUGAAAGUAAGGUGAGUUUAUAGAAAGAAGCAGCCAUGUUUGAAAGUGACAUUGAAUUGAUGGGCAGACAAAGUGACAAGUCAGAGAAAGAUUUGACAGAAUAAAUGAGAAUAAACCCAACUUUUAUGAGAGCACACAGAAAAGAGAGGGUAGACACAGGUAGUGGUGAUGUGUAUGUAUGGCAGGUUUUACUGGGACAGUUUUAUAGAGACAGGUUGCAGGUAAAGACAGAAUAGGGCAGAAAAUGAGAAAAAAAAUCAGAAGAUUAGAACAGAAUGCCUGAGUUAGUUUGAGGGCAAGCAGAGCAAUUCAGCCACAAGCCAAGUUUUUAUCAGUCAGGAGAGGAGUUUUGAGCAAGAACAGCUGAGUUCAGAGUUCAGAAAGAACUAGAAAGGGCACUCUUAUUCAACGUUAAACCUCUGAGAUGACAAUCACAUUGGGUGAAUAAAAGUUACUUUUACAACAAUCUAUAUUGCCUGCAAAAUAUGCUAGGACAAUGGUGGCACAGAACUUGUAGGUGUGGCCAACUAAUGUCUGAUUUGACCUACAGCCCACUCCAUGAGAUGGGACCUAUACCUGACAAUGCUUGGGCAACAAAGAACUAGAGAUUAGAUAACACAAAGACCUAUGGUGAAACCAAACAUUGUUGGUAUAAAGUAACUCAAUAAAAUGAUAUUUGGCUAUACUCAUAGACCAGUGCCUUUUCAAGUCAUCCUCAGAACUGCUUUCUCCAGCAGCAGAUGGGUACAGAUGCAGAGACCCAUGGCCAGACAUUAUGUGAACAGAGAGUCUAACUUGGAGGUUUCCAUCAAAUCCCUGCCCUCAGAGAUCAGGGAAUCUUUCAGAAAAGGUGGCAGAAAGAUUGCAAGUACCAGGGGGAUGGAAGAUACCAGGAGAAUAAGGCCCUCUGAAUUAACUAAGCAAGGCACAUAUGAUCUUAAAGAGAUUCAAGCAGCAAACACUGGGCUGACAUGGGUCUGUACGAGGUCCUCUGCAUAUAUAUUAUAUCUAAUAACUUAGCUUUUGUAUGUAACUCCUGACUGUGAGAACAAAUAUGUCUCUGCUCUUAGGACUCUUUUCCUCCUCUGGGUUGCUGUGUUCAGCUUUGAUAUGAUAGCUUUUGCUUCAUCUUAUUAUAGAUUAUUUUGUUUUGUUAGGUUGCUAUCUCUUAGAAGUCUCUUUUUUUCUAUUGACAAUAAAGGAGUGGAUUUGGAAAACAGGGGAGGUGGGCAGGAACUGGGAGCAAUAGGAGAAAAAAACUAUAAGGAGGAUAUAUUGUAUGGGAAAAGGAUCUAUUUUUAAAUAAAAGUAAAAAUAUAUGAAAAAUAAAUUCAUUAGGUCAAAUAUAACAAAAGG
This 2989-nucleotide long non-coding RNA is filed under the name Mus musculus (house mouse). RNAcentral's name for it is "predicted gene 43666". Lineage: Eukaryota; Metazoa; Chordata; Mammalia; Rodentia; Muridae. The record is from RNAcentral.